This 426-nucleotide ribosomal RNA is filed under the name uncultured bacterium. RNAcentral describes it as "bacterial SSU rRNA". It matches the Rfam family "Bacterial small subunit ribosomal RNA", at positions 356 to 774 of the family's 1533-position model. The record is from RNAcentral.
AGGGAAUAUUGGACAAUGGGGGCAACCCUGAUCCAGCCAUGCCGCGUGAGUGAAGAAGGCCCUCGGGUUGUAAAGCUCUUUUGUCCGGAAAGAAAAGCAUUCGGUGAAUACCCGGAUGUUCUGACGGUACCGGAAGAAUAAGCACCGGCUAACUUCGUGCCAGCAGCCGCGGUAAUACGAAGGGUGCAAGCGUUACUCGGAAUUACUGGGCGUAAAGCGUGCGUAGGUGGUUGUUUAAGUCUGAUGUGAAAGCCCUGGGCUCAACCUGGGAAUGGCAUUGGAAACUGGGCCGCUAGAGUGCGGUAGAGGGUAGUGGAAUUCCCGGUGUAGCAGUGAAAUGCGUAGAGAUCGGGAGGAACAUCUGUGGCGAAGGCGACUGCCUGGACCAGCACUGACACUGAGGCACGAAAGCGUGGGGAGCAAACA